Rattus norvegicus (Norway rat) is the source of this 69-nucleotide non-coding RNA. NCBI's taxonomy places the organism in Eukaryota, Metazoa, Chordata, Mammalia, Rodentia, Muridae. The record is from Rfam.
GGGGAUUUAGCUCAGCGGUAGAGCGCUUGCCUAGCGAGCGCAAGGCCCUGGGUUCGGUCCCCAGCUCCA